GGUCACCUCCCACCCGUGUUUAUUUUACCUUGUUGCUUCGGCGGGCCCGCCUUAACUGGCCGCCGGGGGGCUUACGCCCCCGGGCCCGCGCCCGCCGAAGACACCCUCGAACUCUGUCUGAAGAUUGUAGUCUGAGUGAAAAUAUAAAUUAUUUAAAACUUUCAACAACGGAUCUCUUGGUUCCGGCAUCGAUGAAGAACGCAGCGAAAUGCGAUACGUAAUGUGAAUUGCAAAUUCAGUGAAUCAUCGAGUCUUUGAACGCACAUUGCGCCCCCUGGUAUUCCGGGGGGCAUGCCUGUCCGAGCGUCAUUUCUGCCCUCAAGCACGGCUUGUGUGUUGGGCCCCGUCCUCCGAUCCCGGGGGACGGGCCCGAAAGGCAGCGGCGGCACCGCGUCCGGUCCUCGAGCGUAUGGGGCUUUGUCACCCGCUCUGUAGGCCCGGCCGGCGCUUGCCGAUCAACCCAAAUUUUUAUCCAGGUUGACCUCGGAUCAGGUAGGGAUACCCGCUGAACUUAAGCAUAUCAAUAAGCGGAGGAA
Molecule: ribosomal RNA, 536 nt
Filed under: Penicillium commune
Lineage: Eukaryota; Fungi; Ascomycota; Eurotiomycetes; Eurotiales; Aspergillaceae
Description: eukaryotic LSU rRNA
Rfam family: 5.8S ribosomal RNA (bases 157-309)
Source: RNAcentral